AAUUAGCAGGCGAUAAGACGCGGUGGUCACAGGUAACUGGAGACGCUGUUGGCUGUCUUCUCGGCCAACAGGGAAGACAAGCGAGCACAGCAACACAGCGCCCGACUUCAAAAGUGGGCAUCCGUCACGCAAAAGCACCGGGUUUUCCGGUUAAAAAGGACGGCCGAACCCACGGCCCGAUCCCCGCCGCGUGGCCGCUUCUUCGCCGUCCAUGAGUCGGACGAUCGGAUGGCUUUCGUCCGCCUUCCGCUUUACCUCUCUUCCUCCCGCAAUAAUGCGACAACCGAGACUUUACUGAUCUCCGUCCGAUUUCGAGCGUCGAAGACGAGUCAUUCAUUGACGGGGCUUCAGAGAGGCGGGGGAACCGGAAGGCGGAGGGAGAACUGAGAAGGGUAUGGGGAUCGAGGAAAGUGGUGGAAACUGGAAAUAGAAAGAGGAGAAAGUAGGGAGCAAUAAAUGGGGAAUCGAGGCGGCAGCACAGCCGUCUCCAUGGCGGCGUUGCAGCAGACUCUCUGAUUUCUUUCUCCCUUAAACUACCAUUGGUUUCGGAAUUCAAGAAAAGGGAGACUGCAAGAGGAGAAGUCAAGGAGAGAGAGAGAGAGAGAGAGAGAGGAGUCAUACAGGGAAGAAGCCGGCAGCAUCGACUGCUCCACUCCUGCUGGCUGUUGGGUGCGUUGUGGUUGCAGAGACAAAAAAGCAGCGGGACAAAAGAAGAAAGAAUAGAGCAGAGGUGGCAGUGGCCAUUCUCGCUCCGUCUUGGCUCUCCUCUUUCUUGCUCCCGCGUUCCCUCCUGAGAUCGCUGUCCCACCUCCCCUAGAUAGCAAGGAAAGGGUCGCCAGCAGCUAUGGAUCGAGUAUAACUAGUCCGGUGGGGGAGUAAUCAUGGCGGGGUUUUUUCUCGGAGGGGGCGGUGGCAGCCAGCAACAGCGCGGAGAGCAGCAAGGAGGAGGGAUCCCUCCGUCGGAGAGCUUCUUUCUUUACGGCGUUCGCGGAGGCCGGGGCGAGGACGUCGCUUACACCCGAGGCUUCGAGCUGUGGCAGCACCACCAGAUCCAGCGGGAGCAGCAGCUGUACUCCACCGCGGGCUUCCCCGAUGAGCUGCCGUCCGUGGCGCCGAGGCCGGCGAGAGGAAGCCUGGGAGGCGGCAGCGGGGUGAUGAGCUGCCAGGACUGCGGCAACCAGGCCAAGAAGGACUGCGCCCACAUGAGGUGCCGGACCUGCUGCAAGAGCCGCGGCUUCCAGUGCCCCACCCACGUCAAGAGCACCUGGGUCCCCGCCGCAAAGCGCAGGGAGCGCCAGCAGGAGCUCACCGCCUCCGCCGCCGCGGUGCAGCACGACGAGCGCCACCGCGGUGGCGGCCGAUCCACGGGCGAAGGCAGCAGCGGAGGGGGCGAGCCUUCCAAGCGGCCGAGGGAGAUCACGGCCUGCACCCGACUGCCAGCCGCCAUGGCUUCGACCACCACGUAUGGAGGAAGCCUGGACCCCGAGAGCUUCCCACCGGAAGUGAGCGCGCAGGCGGUGUUCCGGUGCGUGCGGUUGAGCCACGUGGACGAAGCCGACGACAUAUACGCGUACCAGGCCGCCGUGAGCAUCGGCGGCCAUGUGUUCAAGGGACUUCUCUAUGAUCACGGCCCCGAGGCCGAGUACCCAUCGUCCUCCUCCUCUCGGUACCAGCUCCACCACGGUGAAGGCUCUUCCUCCCCCGCAGCGGCUGCUGCUACUGCUAUAGUCAGUGCCAGUGCCAGUGCCAGUGCUGGAGAUGCCGCCAUUGCGACCACUGCCACUGCUGCAGCCACCGAAUUGCUUGAGCCUUACCCGACUCCCUUAAGUGCCUUCAUGGCCGGCACGCAAUUCUUCCCCCACCAACACAGACCAUAGCGGAGAAACCUACGAAGAGGAUGCCAACGCCAAGCACGUCUCCUUCACGACCACAGGUCACGUCCGUGUUAUUUAACGUGCCUCAUCUGGUCACCAAUUUUUCUUAUACCAUGCAUUCCUCCUCAUCAUCCGGCAAUUGUGUAAUCUCUCCAAAUAAUUUCAAGUUUUCUCCUUCUUGAUCACUCUCUAGCAUAGCAAACUUAGAGCAGGCACUCUUCUUGUUCCUCACCUAUUAGCAUCUUCGUCUUCCUUUUGACGUCUCGUGUUGCUCUAUCUAUAGUUUGGUCCCAAGAAGAUGGCCGUCUUUACGGGAUCUGCGGGAUAUGCUUCGGGUUCGGAAAUGGACAUGCCUGGAUUUCUGUUUCACAUUGUUUCAACCUCGGAAACUAUAACUUAGACUGCGAAGGACUUGCUUGAGUUGGUUCCAUGUGGACAUGAUGGCCAUGCAUGGAGUAAGCUGAAUCCCAAGAAGCAGAAAGCCUUUUACCACUCUUCCUCGUAGAAAUGUUUCCCUAUAGUGUAUGCUGCACCUGUGGCAAUUUGGAUCUUUCAUGCUACCUACGGAUAGGGAUGAGCUCUAGCAUGUGUGCUCCUUCUCUCUCGAGGCUAAAGUGACUCCGAAUGGGAAAAAGAAGACACAAGAGAUCAACCUUUGCGGCUGUGCCUCAACAGGAAGUUUAUGACUUCUAAAAUUUAAAGAGCAAAAAGGAUAUUGGCCCUUCGUCGCGCACAUCUUUAAAAGGCGAAAGGGUUAUCGGAUAUUAUUGUUCUUAAAAUUCACUAAAAUUGAGUAGUCCUAAGUGAAGCACAAAAUUACAUAAAAAUAGUAGAUAAAAUCAACAAAAAGGAAAUACCAGGUAAUUUUGUUUUGAAAACUCAAUACGCAUUUACUAUGAUAAAAGAUGAAUUAGGUGAGAAAGUACUUCUCUUCAAGUUUUUUGCUUGCUCUGAAAGAAUCAAACCUGUGAUCAAGGGAAACUAUGACUUGCUAAAUAAAAAAUUCAACAAUAAAUUGGGUUUCUGUAAAUUAAAUGAACAUUUUGGGCUUAAAAACUGUAUAUAUGUUUACCUUGGUGUAUGUGGGUCUGUAAGUUCUUGCUACUUUCAUGAUUAUGCUAGUUCGGCUAUGAAUGUGGAUUCAUUCUGUUUUCAUUUUUUUUAUUGCCUUCUGACUACAUCUAAUUAUUUAUUUGUCAUUGAAAUCAUCUUUCCUGUGAGCUAGCAGAUCAUUUACGUGGAUGUCCUAGCUUUGAUCCUCCUCCGUCGCGACCCUCUCUACUUGUUUUUUGCGUAAUCCAUGGCUUUUGGUAUAUUAUCAAAACUUCUGAAUUCUUAAGGGUUUAGAAGCUACUUGUGACCUUGGUUGCAACUUUCUCAUGAACUUUAUAUGCUGCAAAUUAAAGAUAUAAGCCGUAGCAUUGUAC
Molecule: RNA transcript, 3301 nt
Organism: Musa acuminata subsp. malaccensis (wild Malaysian banana)
Lineage: Eukaryota; Viridiplantae; Streptophyta; Magnoliopsida; Zingiberales; Musaceae
Gene name: protein SHORT INTERNODES 1
Source: RefSeq, a predicted model, not a curated record